RNAcentral lists this ribosomal RNA (374 nucleotides) under uncultured organism. Its description in RNAcentral is "partial 16S ribosomal RNA". It matches the Rfam family "Bacterial small subunit ribosomal RNA", at positions 528 to 896 of the family's 1533-position model. The record is from RNAcentral.
GAACCGUCAAACGUUAUUCGGAAUUACUGGGCUUAAAGGGUGCGUAGGCGGUGCGGUAAGUUGGGUGUGAAAAUCCCUCGGGCUCAACCGAGGGAACUGCGCCUAAUACUGCCGUACUGGAGGGAGACAGAGGUAAGCGGAACUGAUGGUGGAGCGGUGAAAUGCGUUGAUAUCAUCAGGAACACCAGUGGCGAAAGCGGCUUACUGGGUCUCUUCUGACGCUGAGGCACGAAAGCCAGGGUAGCGAACGGGAUUAGAUACCCCGGUAGUCCUGGCUGUAAACGAUGAGCACUUGGUCGGAGACUCCUCCAUAGGUUUCCGGCCGUAGCGAAAGUGUUAAGUGCUCCGCCUGGGGAGUAUGGUCGCAAAGGCUG